UUUUCGAACUUUUUAGGUCGAAAAACAUUUCACGACCCUCCGCCAAGUGUGGAAAAGCUCGGAACACAUCCAAUCAUUCGAACCUCGCAAUUUGCACUGGUCCAGUGUGCUACAAAUCUUUUAUAGUGCGAACCAAACGCGCCCCAAAUGCUAUUCCUAUGAUUUUACAGUUUCUCGCUUUAGUAUCCUGUGAUUUAAAAUAUAUUACUUUAGUAUCUUAUGAUUUUAUUUUUCUUUUUCCGUUAUCUCCAAUGUUAAUUUUUUUUCAACAUAUCAGUUAUAAAUUUAAAAACAUAAGUCCUAAAGUAAAAAAUCGAUAAAUUACAGAGUACUAAAGUGAAUAUUCUACUAACCAUAGGUGGAGUAACUAAAUUUUUUGCAUAUGAUUUAAGAGAAUGUUAACGAAGGUGCUAACGGAAAGAAAAUAAAUGGAACCAUAUAGUACUAAAAUAAUACCGUUUAAAUUAGAGAAUACUAAAAUAAAAAAGGAUAUUUAA
Molecule: long non-coding RNA, 497 nt
Filed under: Ananas comosus (pineapple)
Lineage: Eukaryota; Viridiplantae; Streptophyta; Magnoliopsida; Poales; Bromeliaceae
Description: long non-coding RNA (ACOM_LNC034085)
Source: RNAcentral